GCAGGAAGGAGGAGGCUCAGCUGUGCCAAGUGCUGCUGCGGGUCAGUAGGAUCAGAACUGAAAGGUGCCCUUUGGCUUUAGAAACACAAAGUCCCAGGAGACAUCGGAGCCAUGGCACAGUGACAAAUGCAGAGAGUUAGUCACAACAGUGCUUAUGACAGCAACGGAUUGGAAAUCCUGUAGAUUCCCAUCAACAGAGACCUCUGUAACUACAGUAGGAGUACCGUCACCCACGUACACUUCCAGAAAAUUGUAAAGUUUCUUCGUAACACAGAGAUCUGAGCCUAUAUAUCUCACUAACUUUCACUUUCCUGCUGGUAUAUAUAAAUGGG
Bubalus bubalis (water buffalo) is the source of this 332-nucleotide long non-coding RNA. RefSeq lists it as uncharacterized. The record is from RefSeq and is a predicted model, not a curated record. NCBI's taxonomy places the organism in Eukaryota, Metazoa, Chordata, Mammalia, Artiodactyla, Bovidae. The transcript has 3 exons.